GACGAACGCUGGCGGCGUGCCUAACACAUGCAAGUCAACUUGACUGAAGGAGCAAUCUGACAGUAGAGUGGCGCAAGGGUGCGUAACGCGUAAGUAACUUGCCCAAGGUAAGGAAUAACGUCGAGAAAUCGGCGCUAAUACCUCAUAAUGCAGCGGAUCCGCAUGGAUAUGUUGUUAAAGGUUUACCGCCUUGGGAUAGGCUUGCGUCUGAUUAGUUAGUUGGUGUGGUAACGGCACACCAAGGCUACGAUCAGUAACUGGUCUGAGAGGAUGAUCAGUCACACUGGAACUGAGACACGGUCCAGACUCCUACGGGAGGCAGCAGUGAGGAAUAUUGGGCAAUGCUCGAAAGAGUGACCCAGCAACGCCGCGUGGAGGAUGAAGGUAUUCUAUAUCGUAAACUCCUGUGAGAGCAGACGAAAGACAGAUUAUUAAUCUGGAUGACUGUAUACUCAGAGGAAGCCCCGGCUAACUACGUGCCAG
RNAcentral lists this ribosomal RNA (483 nucleotides) under uncultured bacterium. RNAcentral describes it as "bacterial SSU rRNA". It matches the Rfam family "Bacterial small subunit ribosomal RNA", at positions 28 to 511 of the family's 1533-position model. The record is from RNAcentral.